Molecule: ribosomal RNA, 459 nt
Filed under: uncultured archaeon
Lineage: Archaea
Description: bacterial SSU rRNA
Rfam family: Archaeal small subunit ribosomal RNA
Source: RNAcentral
GGGUAAAUCGGGAAGCUCAACUUUCCGACUUCCGAGGAGACUGGCGGACUUGGGACCGGGAGAGGCCAGAGGUACGUUCUGGGGUAGGGGGUAAAAAUCCUGUAAUCCUAGAAGGACCACCGGUGGCGAAGGCGUCUGGCUAGAACGGAUCCGACGGUGAGGGACGAAGCCCUGGGUCGCAAACGGGAUUAGAUACCCCGGUAGUCCAGGGUGUAAACGCUGCCGACUUGGUGUUGGGGGCCCUUCGGGGGAACUCAGUGCCGGAGAGAAGUUGUUAAGUCGGCCACUUGGGGAGUACGUCCGCAAGGAUGAAACUUAAAGGAAUUGGCGGGGGAGCACCGACCAACGGGAGGAGCGUGCGGUUUAAUUGGAUUCAACACCGGAAAACUCACCAAGGGCGACUGUUACAUGAAAGCCAGGCUAAUGACCUUGCUUGAUUUUCAGAGUAGUGGUGCAUGG